AACGAACGCUGGCGGCGUGUUUAAGACAUGCAAGUCGCACGGGAUAAGACAUGUAGUAAUACUUGUUUUAUUUAGUGGCGCACGGGUGAGUAACACGUGAAUUACAUGCCCUAUAGUGGGGAAUAGCCCAGGGAAACUUGGAUUAAUACCCCAUGGUAUCGAAAGAUUAAAGGUGGCCGCAAGGCUGUCGCUAUAGGAUUGGUUCGCGCCCUAUCAGCUUGUUGGUGAGGUAACGGCUCACCAAGGCAAUGACGGGUACCUGGUCUGAGAGGACGAUAAGGCACACUGGAACAGGGACACGGGCCAGACACCUACGGGUGGCAGCAGUCGAGAAUAAUUCACAAUGGGGGCAACCCUGAUGGUGCAACGCCGCGUGGAGGAUGACGGUCUUCGGAUUGUAAACUCCUGUCAUCUGUGAGAAAGACCUGACGGUAAAUAGCCGGCAGGGUUGAUAGGACCAGAAGAGGAAGGGACGGCUAACUUCGUGCCAGCAGCAGCCGCCG
This 503-nucleotide ribosomal RNA is filed under the name uncultured bacterium. RNAcentral describes it as "partial 16S ribosomal RNA". It matches the Rfam family "Bacterial small subunit ribosomal RNA", at positions 29 to 523 of the family's 1533-position model. The record is from RNAcentral.